UACGGGGGGGGCAAGCGUUGUUCGGAUUCACUGGGCGUAAAGGGUGCGUAGGCGGCCGGGUAAGUCUGAUGUGAAAUCCCGCAGCUUAACUGCGGAACUGCAUCGGAUACUCUCCGGCUAGAGGAAUGGAGGGGAGACUGGAAUUCUCGGUGUAGCAGUGAAAUGCGUAGAUAUCGAGAGGAACACCAGUGGCGAAGGCGAGUCUCUGGACAUUUCCUAACGCUGAGGCACGAAAGCCAGGGGAGCAAACGGG
This 253-nucleotide ribosomal RNA is filed under the name uncultured bacterium. RNAcentral's name for it is "partial 16S ribosomal RNA". It matches the Rfam family "Bacterial small subunit ribosomal RNA", at positions 524 to 776 of the family's 1533-position model. The record is from RNAcentral.